This 215-nucleotide ribosomal RNA is filed under the name uncultured bacterium. RNAcentral's name for it is "partial 16S ribosomal RNA". It matches the Rfam family "Bacterial small subunit ribosomal RNA", at positions 524 to 738 of the family's 1533-position model. The record is from RNAcentral.
UACGUAGGGGGCAAGCGUUGUCCGGAAUCAUUGGGCGUAAAGCGCGCGUAGGCGGCCCGGUAAGUCCGUUGUGAAAGUCAAAGGCUCAACCUUUGAACGCCGAUGGAUACUGCCGGGCUAGAGUCCGGAAGAGGCGAGUGGAAUUCCUGGUGUAGCGGUGGAAUGCGCAGAUAUCAGGAGGAACACCAAUAGCGAAGGCAGCUCGCUGGGACGGU